CCUACGGGAGGCAGCAGUGAGGAAUAUUGGUCAAUGGGCGAGAGCCUGAACCAGCCAAGCCGCGUGAAGGAAGACUGCGCCAGGCGUCGUAAACUUCUUUUGUCUGGGAACAAAGGGCGCCACGCGUGGCGUUGUGAGUGUACCCGAAGAAAAAGCAUCGGCUAACUCCGUGCCAGCAGCCGCGGUAAUACGGAGGAUGCGAGCGUUAUCCGGAUUUAUUGGGGUUAAAGGGUGCGUAGGCGGGUCCGAAAGUCAGCGGGUAAAGCCCGGGGCUCAACCCCGGGGGAGCCGUUGAAACUGGCGGACUAGAGACGGCGAGAGGUACGCGGAAUGCGCGGUGUAGCGGUGAAAUGCAUAGAUAUCGCGCAGAACUCCGAUUGCGAGGGCAGCGUACCGGCGCCGGACUGACGCUGAGGCACGAAAGCGUGGGUAUCGAACAGGAUUAGAUACCCGUGUAGUC
This 460-nucleotide ribosomal RNA is filed under the name uncultured bacterium. RNAcentral's name for it is "partial 16S ribosomal RNA". It matches the Rfam family "Bacterial small subunit ribosomal RNA", at positions 338 to 795 of the family's 1533-position model. The record is from RNAcentral.